This is a long non-coding RNA of Schistocerca serialis cubense, 670 nucleotides long. RefSeq lists it as uncharacterized. Lineage: Eukaryota; Metazoa; Arthropoda; Insecta; Orthoptera; Acrididae. The record is from RefSeq and is a predicted model, not a curated record. The transcript is spliced from 3 exons.
CGAAAAUAACAAAAACAUGGAAACUACAUUCCAGGACUUUGGCGAAACAGAUUUUACAGAACUUGAAAACGAGAAAAAAUUCUCAGCAGUGAAGAUAAACGUCUGCAGCUUCAGAACCUCUUUAAAUCGAUUAUAAACAAUAGAUUAAAAAAAGUGUUCUCUGAUUGUGUGAAACUGUGUGGUUCUUGCGAUUGCAGCAACCACCGCAUCUUGGGAAAGAAGCAUGACAACAUUAAAACGCGAUAAAACGUACUUUCGCAAUACAAUGACAAAUGACAGACUGUCAAGUUUGGCGAUUUUCGCUUCAGAGAAGGGAAGUGUGAAAUCCUCAAAAAAACUAAGUUUUCACAUAUCGUUAUAUCGAUGCUUGCCCAGAAAAAGGACAGGAGAAUAGAACUAAUUUGUAAAAAGAUGUAACGGCAUUCUUAUUAGAUCAGUGCUUCUGAUCAGUGGCAGAAUUCUUAAACCAUGUGAAGUACAUGAAGACAUGUGAAGACAUGAAGGAAGAAUACGCAAAAACUGCUAUGCUGCUGAAGCAAGAUCAAAUAUAAUGAUUUUAGUGUACUAUUAAAAUAAAUGUUGAAGUUGUUUUUAACCUGUAUGUCUGUGUGAUGCAAAUCUGUAGAAAUUUACUGGAUGAAUAAAUAAAUAAAAAAUUGUUACAUAUGUA